CCUGGCACCUCCCGGGGUGGCCAGCCUUGCUGAAUUAUUCCACCCGUGUCUUUUGCGUACUUCUUGUUUCCUUGGUGGGCUCGCCCACCACAAGGACCAACCCAUAAACCUUUUUGCAAUGGCAAUCAGCGUCAGUAACAAUGUAAUAAUUUACAACUUUCAACAACGGAUCUCUUGGUUCUGGCAGAAGAACGCAGCGAAAUGCGAUAAGUAGUGUGAAUUGCAGAAUUCAGUGAAUCAUCGAAUCUUUGAACGCACAUUGCGCCCUUUGGUAUUCCAAAGGGCAUGCCUGUUCGAGCGUCAUUUGUACCCUCAAGCUUUGCUUGGUGUUGGGCGUCUUUUUGUCUCCCCUUGCGGGAGACUCGCCUUAAAGUCAUUGGCAGCCGGCCUACUGGUUUCGGAGCGCAGCACAAGUCGCGCUCUCUUCCAGCCCCAAGGUCUAGCAUCCACCAAGCCUUUUUUUUCAACUUUUGACCUCGGAUCAGGUAGGGAUACCCGCUGAACUUAAGCAUAUCAAA
This 518-nucleotide ribosomal RNA is filed under the name Alternaria solani. Its description in RNAcentral is "eukaryotic LSU rRNA". The stretch from base 155 to 303 matches the Rfam family "5.8S ribosomal RNA". Lineage: Eukaryota; Fungi; Ascomycota; Dothideomycetes; Pleosporales; Pleosporaceae. The record is from RNAcentral.